This 433-nucleotide ribosomal RNA is filed under the name uncultured bacterium. RNAcentral describes it as "partial 16S ribosomal RNA". It matches the Rfam family "Bacterial small subunit ribosomal RNA", at positions 29 to 507 of the family's 1533-position model. The record is from RNAcentral.
AACGAACGCUGGCGGCAUGCCUAACACAUGCAAGUCGAACGAGACCUUCGGGUCUAGUGGCGCACGGGUGCGUAACGCGUGGGAACCUGCCCUUAGGUUCGGAAUAACUCCCCGAAAGGGGUGCUAAUACCGGAUAAUGUCUUCGGACCAAAGAUUUAUCGCCUUUGGAUGGGCCCGCGUUGGAUUAGCUAGUUGGUAGGGUAAAAGCCUACCAAGGCGACGAUCCAUAGCUGGUCUGAGAGGAUGAUCAGCCACACUGGGACUGAGACACGGCCCAGACUCCUACGGGAGGCAGCAGUGGGGAAUAUUGGACAAUGGGCGAAAGCCUGAUCCAGCAAUGACGCGUGAGUGAUGAAGGCCUUAGGGUUGUAAAGCUCUUUUACCCGGGAUGAUAAUGACAGUACCGGGAGAAUAAGCACCGGCUAACUCCGUG